Molecule: ribosomal RNA, 484 nt
Filed under: uncultured bacterium
Lineage: Bacteria
Description: partial 16S ribosomal RNA
Rfam family: Bacterial small subunit ribosomal RNA
Source: RNAcentral
AUUGAACGCUGGCGGCAGGCCUAACACAUGCAAGUCGAGCGGAUGAAGGGAGCUUGCUCCUGGAUUCAGCGGCGGACGGGUGAGUAAUGCCUAGGAAUCUGCCUGGUAUUGGGGGAUAACGUCCGUAAACGGGCGCUAAUACCGCAUACGUCCUUAUGGUGAAAGUGGGGGUUCUUCGGACCUCACGCUUUCUGAUGUGCCUAGGUCGUAUUAGCUAGUUGGUUGGGUAAAGGCCUACCAAGGCGACGAUCCGUAACUGGUCUGAGAGGAUGAUCAGUCACACUGGAACUGAGACACGGUCCAGACUCCUACGGGAGGCAGCAGUGGGGAAUAUUGGACAAUGGGCGAAAGCCUGAUCCAGCAAUGCCGCGUGUGUGAAGAAGGUCUUCGGAUUGUAAAGCACUUUAAGUUGGGAGGAAGGGAAGUAAGUUAAUACCUUGCUGUUUUGACGUUACCAAAAGAAUAAGCACCGGCUAACUACGUG